Molecule: long non-coding RNA, 844 nt
Filed under: Homo sapiens (human)
Lineage: Eukaryota; Metazoa; Chordata; Mammalia; Primates; Hominidae
Description: non-protein coding lnc-PRODH2-5:7
Source: RNAcentral
CAUGUGGCAGUCAGGUGGCGACCACUAUCUAGCCCAACGUUGCUGGAGUUGUUGCAGCUCUGCCGGGCCCACAUAUCAGCGUUCGUGCAUGACGCCUCCUGUGGAUGGGUCACAAAAUGACUGUGCAGCAGCCGAAGGCCCCUGGAACCCAGACAGAUGUGCUACUGGCUGACCUUCAGCACUGCAGGUACCUGUGCCAGCCCCCAGCCCCGCCUCCUGUUGGCCCUCCCACGGAAGACAAGGGUGUGUGGCCGUAGUCAUGGCCAGAAUCUUCACUUCUGGGCCAGCACCCGGCAUGGAGCCCUUCUGCUGGGGCGAUCCCCCCACUGGAAAGUGGGUGGGUACCAGUUGUGUGUGCAAUGCCCUGUAGGCCUGAGAGGAGGUGGGGGUGUGGAAGGCACCAGGAUGAGGUAGGCGGUGGGUGCUGGCCCUCCCACUGCUGGGCUGCGUGACCUGGGAUCAGUCUUUCCUCUGUCUGAUGGCAGGUGCAGAUUGCCUGCCCUGGCACGUGGUGGGCAGUCUGGGCCCAGGAGCAUCUCCCACCCUGUGUGGCUGGGGCCUGCUCGUGAGUGGCCUGCUGUCCUCCUGCCCAGCAAGCUGCACCACCCUGGCCUGUUGCUGCUGAUGGCACUGAGUCCCUCUGCAGAUCUGUCGGGGCUGUGCCUUCUCUUUGAGCCUGUGUGGCUGGGCUCCCUGCAGGGGGUGCUGCACCCACCGAGACCAAGUGAGGAGGCACCUGGGACUGUGCUGGGCCUGCCGCCCCGGCCCCCUGCUGCAGCAGGUGCUAAAGGCCCUGCUGUUCCUGCAGGCCCACUGGCGAGCUCACAGUGGCUUCAGCUCUCAC